GAUGAAUGCUGGCGGCGUGCCUAACACAUGCAAGUCGAGCGGUAACAGGAGUAGUUUACUACUUGCUGACGAGCGGCGGACGGCUGAGUAACGCGUGGGAACGUGCCCCAAAGUGAGGAAUAACUGCCCGAAAGGGUAGCUAAUACCGCAUAUGAUCUUCGGAUUAAAGGAUUUAUCCGCUUUGGGAGCGGCCCGCGUACGAUUAGGUAGUUGGUAGGGUAAUGGCCUACCAAGCCGACGAUCGUUAACUGGUCUUAGAGGAUGAUCAGUCAGACUGGAACUGAGACACGGUCCAGACUCCUACGGGAGGCAGCAGUGAGGAAUCUUCCACAAUGGGCGAAAGCCUGAUGGAGCAACGCCGCGUGCAGGAUGAAGGCCUUCGGGUUGUAAAGCUCUUUUGCCAGGGACGAUAAUGACGGUACCUGGAGAAUAAGCCCCGGCAAACUUCGUGCCAGCCGCCGCAGUA
RNAcentral lists this ribosomal RNA (466 nucleotides) under uncultured bacterium. Its description in RNAcentral is "partial 16S ribosomal RNA". It matches the Rfam family "Bacterial small subunit ribosomal RNA", at positions 28 to 522 of the family's 1533-position model. The record is from RNAcentral.